GGCCUAACCAUGCAAGUCGAGCGGUAACAGAUCCAGCUUGCUGGAUGCUGACGAGCGGCGGACGGGUGAGUAAUGCAUAGGAAUUUACCCGAUAGUGGGGGAUAACCUGGGGAAACUCAGGCUAAUACCGCAUACGUCCUACGGGAGAAAGGGGGCCUUGGCUCCCGCUAUCGGAUGAGCCUAUGCCGGAUUAGCUGGUUGGUGAGGUAAUGGCUCACCAAGGCGACGAUCCGUAGCUGGUCUGAGAGGAUGAUCAGCCACAUCGGGACUGAGACACGGCCCGAACUCCUACGGGAGGCAGCAGUGGGGAAUAUUGGACAAUGGGGGCAACCCUGAUCCAGCCAUGCCGCGUGUGUGAAGAAGGCCCUCGGGUUGUAAAGCACUUUCAGCGAGGAAGAACGCCUGGCGGUUAAUACCCGCCAGGAAAGACAUCACUCGCAGAAGAAGCACCGGCUAACUCCGUGCCAGCAGCCGCGGUAAUACGGAGGGUGCAAGCGUUAAUCGGAAUUACUGGGCGUAAAGCGCGCUUAGGUGGCUU
Molecule: ribosomal RNA, 538 nt
Filed under: uncultured bacterium
Lineage: Bacteria
Description: bacterial SSU rRNA
Rfam family: Bacterial small subunit ribosomal RNA
Source: RNAcentral